AGUGAACGCUGGCGGUAGGCCUAACACAUGCAAGUCGAACGGCAGCACAGUAAGAGCUUGCUCUUACGGGUGGCGAGUGGCGGACGGGUGAGGAAUACAUCGGAAUCUACUUUUUCGUGGGGGAUAACGUAGGGAAACUUACGCUAAUACCGCAUACGACCUACGGGUGAAAGCAGGGGAUCUUCGGACCUUGCGCGAUUGAAUGAGCCGAUGUCGGAUUAGCUAGUUGGCGGGGUAAAGGCCCACCAAGGCGACGAUCCGUAGCUGGUCUGAGAGGAUGAUCAGCCACACUGGAACUGAGACACGGUCCAGACUCCUACGGGAGGCAGCAGUGGGGAAUAUGGGACAAUGGGCGCAAGCCUGAUCCAGCCAUACCGCGUGGUGAAGAAGGCCUUCGGGUUGUAAAGCCCUUUUGUUGGGAAAGAAAAGCAGCAGGUUAAUACCCCGCUGUUCUGACGGUACCCAAAGAAUAAGCACCGGCUAACUUCGUG
RNAcentral lists this ribosomal RNA (491 nucleotides) under uncultured bacterium. Its description in RNAcentral is "partial 16S ribosomal RNA". It matches the Rfam family "Bacterial small subunit ribosomal RNA", at positions 29 to 507 of the family's 1533-position model. The record is from RNAcentral.